This 497-nucleotide ribosomal RNA is filed under the name uncultured bacterium. RNAcentral's name for it is "partial 16S ribosomal RNA". It matches the Rfam family "Bacterial small subunit ribosomal RNA", at positions 28 to 507 of the family's 1533-position model. The record is from RNAcentral.
GAUGAACGCUGGCGGCGUGCCUAAUACAUGCAAGUCGAGCGAACGGACGAGAAGCUUGCUUCUCUGAUGUUAGCGGCGGACGGGUGAGUAACACGUGGAUAACCUACCUAUAAGACUGGGAUAACUUCGGGAAACCGGAGCUAAUACCGGAUAAUAUUUUGAACCGCAUGGUUCAAAAGUGAAAGACGGCCUUGCUGUCACUAAUAGAUGGUUCCGAGCUGCAUUAGCUAGUUGGUAAGGUAACGGCUUACCAAGGCAACGAUGCAUAGCCGACCGGAGAGGGUGAUCGGCCACACUGGAACUGAGACACGGUCCAGACUCCUACGGGAGGCAGCAGUAGGGAAUCUGCCGCAAAGGGCGAAAGCCUGACGGAGCAACGCCGCGUGAGUGAUGAAGGUCUUCGGAUCGUAAAACUCUGUUAUUAGGGAAGAACAUAUGUGUAAGUAACUGUGCACAUCUUGACGGUACCUAAUCAGAAAGCCACGGCUAACUACGUG